GCACCCUGCAGUUGAAAUGUAUCCUCAGUUGGUUACGUUUCAUCGAGCUAAUCCUCAUGCAGCAAAGCGUCUAGAGAACAGAAGAACAAAGAUUUUGCAGGAGUAAGGAAGGCAUGGCGAAAUGCGAGCCGACGGUGCAAUAAACUGACCAGGUUUCGGUUGCUCUGUUCUUGUCGGGAGUCUAGUGCUGAACCAAAGCAAGCUUAUGGAAUGAAAAUGUGCUAAUAAAUAUAACUCGAGGUAUGUUGGCGCAGAAAGCUUCACAGAAGAGCAAAUUGAGUGCAGGAUUGCAAACACCAAAACAGACAACAACAACAAGAGGGAACUAUGUUUCAUCAAAUCAUGCAAGACUUACCUAGUGAUAAUCAGCCAGGGAAGGAAGGAGCUUGAAGAAGAGUAAUGCACGGCCAGCUCCAAGCCGGGGAUCGAGAAGACGAUGGAGAUGAGACCGGAGCCACCGAGAGAGGAGAAGAGAGGAGUGCGAGGGAAGCAAUAUUACCAUGAGAAAGAACCCCUAGCUCCCUCCGUCAGAACGUACAUGUGAAGGAAGGGAUCCUGUUCCUGUGGCCAGCCUCGCUGCCCUGAGCUGUGCAUCAUCGAUCUCCUUCCUUUCUUUCUUUCAAGUAUGGGAUCAGGCAGCUCAUCAGCUAUGGGGCUGGGAGCACAUGCCAUGCCAUGCACAAGCACAAGCAAGAUGGAUGGACCUUCAACAAUUGUUGCGUGGCUGCAGGCUUUUUCCCCACCACUGCAGAAAAAGUGGCAAGCGAAAAGCCGGACCAGAGCAUUUGAUAAUGCUGUGUCUUGCUUAGCCGGCCUGUAGCAAUCAUGGGACCUUGUGGGUCGUUACGUGUGUUCGCUGUUGCACGGCCGGCCAAGCUGCAGUUAAAAGCAAGCAGCGGCAGAUAAUUGGGUAUCAUCAUCAUCUCCUUCUGUAUAUGCUGUGCUUUGCUUCUUGUGUUAGCACUUGUUGACUCAAGAAGAGGUUAAUUAUUACUCCAUCCGUUUCAUAAUUCUUGUUGAAAUA
This is a long non-coding RNA of Brachypodium distachyon (stiff brome), 1024 nucleotides long. RefSeq lists it as uncharacterized. The record is from RefSeq and is a predicted model, not a curated record. Lineage: Eukaryota; Viridiplantae; Streptophyta; Magnoliopsida; Poales; Poaceae. The transcript has 2 exons.